This 1062-nucleotide ribosomal RNA is filed under the name Triticum aestivum (bread wheat). Its description in RNAcentral is "partial small subunit ribosomal RNA". Lineage: Eukaryota; Viridiplantae; Streptophyta; Magnoliopsida; Poales; Poaceae. The record is from RNAcentral.
AUGACUGCAAUUUUAGAGAGACGCGAAAGUACAAGCCUGUGGGGUCGCUUCUGCAACUGGAUAACUAGCACUGAAAAUCGUCUUUACUUCGGAUGGUUCGGUGUUUUGAUGAUCCCUACCUUAUUGAUCGCAACUUCUGUAUUUAUUAUCGCCUUCAUCGCUGCCCCUCCAGUAGAUAUUGAUGGUAUUCGUGAGCCUAUUUCUGGUUCUUUACUUUAUGGAAACAAUAUUAUCUCUGGUGCUAUUAUCCCUACUUCUGCGGCGAUCGGAUUGCACUUUUACCCAAUUUGGGAAGCUGCAUCUGUUGAUGAGUGGUUAUACAAUGGUGGUCCUUAUGAGCUAAUUGUUCUACACUUCUUAAUUGGUGUAGCUUGUUAUAUGGGUCGUGAGUGGGAACUUAGUUUCCGUCUGGGUACGCGUCCUUGGAUUGCUGUUGCAUAUUCAGCUCCUGUUGCAGCUGCUACUGCUGUUUUCUUGAUUUACCCUAUUGGUCAAGGAAGCUUUUCUGAUGGUAUGCCUUUAGGAAUCUCUGGUACUUUCAACUUUAUGAUUGUAUUCCAGGCAGAGCACAACAUCCUUAUGCAUCCAUUCCACAUGUUAGGUGUAGCUGGUGUAUUCGGCGGUUCCCUAUUCAGUGCUAUGCAUGGUUCCUUGGUAACCUCUAGUUUGAUCAGGGAAACUACUGAAAAUGAAUCUGCUAAUGAGGGUUACAAAUUUGGUCAAGAGGAAGAAACUUAUAAUAUUGUGGCUGCUCAUGGUUAUUUUGGCCGAUUAAUCUUCCAAUAUGCUAGUUUCAACAACUCUCGUUCUUUACACUUCUUCUUGGCUGCUUGGCCUGUAGUAGGAAUCUGGUUCACUGCUUUAGGUAUUAGUACUAUGGCUUUCAACCUAAAUGGUUUCAAUUUCAACCAAUCUGUAGUUGAUAGUCAAGGUCGCAUUAUUAAUACUUGGGCUGAUAUCAUCAACCGUGCUAACCUUGGUAUGGAAGUAAUGCACGAACGUAAUGCUCACAACUUCCCUCUAGACUUAGCUGCUGUUGAAGUUCCAUCUAUUAAUGGAUAA